AGUUGACUCUCUAUCCCACCGAGAGCAUAACUAACAAGUCACAGAUUAUGAACUUAAUAUUCCCUCUAAACAUAAUCUCCUCCUCCUCCCUUUCUUAUUUUCUUCUUUGUUCUAAAAGAAUGGAUAAUCAUAUCAAUAGUCUUAUGCCCAUAAAUUUUAGAUACAUAUUUUUCUUCUUGUUAUUAAUAAUAAGCACUUUUUGCUCACAACUAUCCUACUCUCAAUCCCAACCUCAAUCAAUUUAUGAUUACUCCAUUUGUAGAGAUCUAAACCAUUCCUACAACUGUGGCAACCUAUCCUACAUAUCUUACCCAUUCUGGGGGCAGAAUCGUCCUAUUCAAUGUGGCGCAGGCAAACCAUUUCAGCUUCACUGCCACAACAACCAAGAUACCACUAUUCAAUUAUCCUACCAAAAUUUCACAGUCAUUGAAAUUAACACAAAUCAUCACAUCAUCAAACUCAAAAGAACAGACCUUUCCCAAAAUCUAUGCUCUCCUCAAUUUGAUCAUAUUUAUUUGACUCCAACUUUGUUUCAAUAUGCUGAUACUUAUUUGUCUCCAACUCUGGUUCAAUAUCUCCCACAAGUCAAAAACAUCACCAUAUACUAUAACUGUGACCCAUCUCCAUAUUUUCCUAAAGUUUCUCUAUGUGGAGCUCAGAAUUAUGCUUUUUGUCCUGUUGGUGAUUAUGCAAAUAAGUUUCUUGAAGUAUCAAGAAAUUGCAGACAAUAUAUACAAGUGCCUGUAGGAGGAGAUUUUCCUAUUGAGAAUGGUUCUUAUUACUAUUUAAGUCGUGAAGUUCUUGAAAAAGGUUUGGAUAAGGGGUUUGAGGUUAAAUAUAGUGUGAAUGAGGAGUGUUUACAGUGUUUGGGAUAUCAAGAAGGAGGUUGUGUGAGUGAUGAUUUUGAUAAACAUGCAACAUCCACUUGCUAUUAUCAUGAUUGUCCUGAUGGAUCUAUUGCUUUUUCCUCACAAUGUUCUUCUGAUCAGAAAAGUAAGCAGGUGAGCUGGCAUGGAAAAAUGAAAACCAUUCUAGGUAUUGGAAGUGCAAUAAUGGUAGCAUUGCUGAUGUGCGUCAUAUUUUGUUGUAUUAGAGGUAAGCGAUCAAUACAACAAGUAAAUUUCUGGUAUAAAACAAAAAAUGAUAAAAAUAUCGAAGCAUUUUUCAAAGAAAAUGGAGCUCUAACGCAAAAGAAAUAUAAAUUUUCUGAAAUAAAGAAAAUGACAAAUUCAUUCGAAAUUAAACUUGGUCAAGGGGGUUUUGGGGUUGUGUAUAAAGGAAAAUUAUUCAAUGGUUGUCUUGUGGCGGUGAAGAUAUUGAAUGCAUCAAAAAGAAAUGGUGAAGAUUUUAUUAAUGAGAUUGCAAGUAUUACUAGAACCUCACAUGUUAAUAUUGUCACUCUUCUUGGAUUUUGUUUUGAAGGUCGUAAAAAAGCACUUGUAUAUGAAUUUAUGUCUAAUGGUUCUCUAGACAAAUUUAUUUAUAAUAAGGGGCCUGAAACCAUUAUAUCUGUAAGUUGGGAUAAUUUGUAUCAAAUUGCGAAAGGAAUAGCUCGUGGGCUAGAGUAUUUGCAUAGAGGAUGCACCACUCGAAUUUUACAUUUUGACAUUAAACCACAUAAUAUUCUUUUGGAUGAGAACUUUAGUCCAAAGAUUUCUGAUUUUGGACUUGCAAAGCUCUGCCCUAAAAAAGAGAGCAUUAUUUCGAUGUCGGAUCAAAGAGGGACAAUGGGAUAUGUAGCUCCAGAAGUGUGGAAUAGACAUUUUGGAGGAGUUUCACAUAAGUCUGAUGUUUAUAGUUAUGGAAUGAUGUUGUUAGAAAUGGUGGGUGGGAGGAAAAACAUUAAUGCUGAUGCAAGUCACACAAGUGAGAUAUAUUUUCCUCAUUGGGUAUACAAUAAACUUGAGUUUGGUAGUGAUUUGAGACCUGAUAUAGUAAUGGAUACAGAAGAAGAUGAGAUUGCAAGGAAAAUGACCAUUGUGGGUUUAUGGUGUAUUCAAAUAUUUCCUAAUGAUAGGCCUACUAUGAGUAAAGUGGUUGAAAUGUUAGAAGUUAGCACAAGUUCUUUAGAAAUACCACCAAUGCCAUUACUUUCCUCUCCUAUUAGACCAGUAUCAGAGUCUUGAAUGUUUCUAAUUUAAGGGCAUGUAUAAUUAUAUUUUACUUUUUAAUUGGAGUAGUGAUCAUCUCAACCUUGUUAAUCAUCUUGUAAAGUAAAGUGGAUCUCAAUGUCUCAAAUUAUUUUUAUAUUGAAUGCAUAAUAUUCAUGAGCAAUUGAUCAUGUAAACUCUAUUAUCAUUUUAUAAUUAUUUCUUUUAGAAGUUGGUGAUAAUCACCUGCUAGUAAGUGGUGAUCGAGGCCUAUCCUUAACACUUAUUAUGAAGAAAAAAAAUAGUGGUGAUUUUGUUGCUAUGGCUUGUUACUGGUGAAAUAAUUUGCGGCAGUCAGGAGAUUUGUGGAGGAAUAGCUGUAUGUUCUUUAGGUGUUUCCAUAUAUUUUAGAGCUGGUGUGUUUUGUAUUU
This is an RNA transcript of Vicia villosa (hairy vetch), 2521 nucleotides long. It is a transcript of the gene named LEAF RUST 10 DISEASE-RESISTANCE LOCUS RECEPTOR-LIKE PROTEIN KINASE-like 2.4, with no coding region annotated. The record is from RefSeq and is a predicted model, not a curated record. The transcript is spliced from 4 exons. Lineage: Eukaryota; Viridiplantae; Streptophyta; Magnoliopsida; Fabales; Fabaceae.